RNAcentral lists this long non-coding RNA (471 nucleotides) under Amborella trichopoda. Its description in RNAcentral is "long non-coding RNA (ATRI_LNC000326)". The record is from RNAcentral. Lineage: Eukaryota; Viridiplantae; Streptophyta; Magnoliopsida; Amborellales; Amborellaceae.
UCCAGACUAAAUUUAUAGGUGCGCUUUAUUUCCAUACCUCAUGAGGGUCUUAUAUGGACAUAAUAAAAUUUCAGUAUCAAUUUUAGUUUUUUUAACAAAGACAUUAUAUAAACUUUACCGUUUAUAGAAAAAGUAAAUUUAUACAUAUCUAUUAAAUAUCAUAUCUAUUAAAUAUAAUAUUUUAUUAAAAAAUUAUCAAAAAUAUCCUACGUCAAAUUUUAUUGAAAAAAACAUUUUUUUUAAAAAAACCUUAUUCGCUAACACCUUUCACGGUUUUGUAAGGACCGUGAUCUUUUUCACUGUUCAUUUAUUUAAAAAACCAUCAUGGCACUAGUCGAAACGUGAUAUGCUUUUAAACCACAAAGUGAUCACAAUUUUGUUAGAAUCAUGAUCGUUUUAAACUAGAAAGCCAUUACAAUUUUAACAGGACUGCGAUCCUUUAAAACUUCACACUGCAAUUUUUGUAAGUGG